GGAUUGACGUGACGGUCAUGCCUUAAGGGGUAUGAACUGUCACUGUUGAUUUCUCACCUUCUGGAGAAACUUGAUGUUCUUAAUUGGGUGUCUUGCGGAUCCAGGACCUUUACCUUGAAAAAUUAGAGUGUUUAAAGCAGGCAUUUUUUGCUCGAAUACAUUAGCAUGGAAUAAUAGAAUAGGACGGCAUGGUUCUAUUUUGUUGGUUUCUAGGAUCACCGUAAUGAUUAAUAGGGAUAGUUGGG
Molecule: ribosomal RNA, 245 nt
Filed under: uncultured Glomus
Lineage: Eukaryota; Fungi; Glomeromycota; Glomeromycetes; Glomerales; Glomeraceae
Description: partial 18S ribosomal RNA
Rfam family: Eukaryotic small subunit ribosomal RNA
Source: RNAcentral